This 460-nucleotide ribosomal RNA is filed under the name uncultured bacterium. Its description in RNAcentral is "partial 16S ribosomal RNA". It matches the Rfam family "Bacterial small subunit ribosomal RNA", at positions 338 to 795 of the family's 1533-position model. The record is from RNAcentral.
CCUACGGGGCGCUGCAGUGAGGAAUAUUGGUCAAUGGACGAGAGUCUGAACCAGCCAAGUAGCGUGAAGGAUGACUGCCCUAUGGGUUGUAAACUUCUUUUAUAUGGGAAUAAAACGUUCCACGUGUGGGAUUUUGUAUGUACCAUAUGAAUAAGGAUCGGCUAACUCCGUGCCAGCAGCCGCGGUAAUACGGAGGAUCCGAGCGUUAUCCGGAUUUAUUGGGUGUAAAGGGAGCGUAGGUGGAUUGUUAAGUCAGUUGUGAAAGUUUGCGGCUCAACCGUAAAAUUGCAGUUGAAACUGGCAGUCUUGAGUACAGUAGAGGUGGGCGGAAUUCGUGGUGUAGCGGUGAAAUGCUUAGAUAUCACGAAGAACUCCGAUUGCGAAGGCAGUUCACUGGACUGCAACUGACACUGAGGCUCGAGAGUGUGGGUAUCAAACAGGAUUAGAUACCCCAGUAGUC